UACGGAGGGUGCGAGCGUUGUCCGGAAUCACUGGGCGUAAAGGGCGCGUAGGCGGUCGGCCAAGCGUGCGGUGAAAGCCCGGGGCUCAACCCCGGGUCGGCCGUGCGAACUGGCUGACUGGAGCACUGUAGAGGCGGGUGGAAUUCCGGGUGUAGCGGUGGAAUGCGUAGAGAUCCGGAAGAACACCGGUGGCGAAGGCGGCCCGCUGGGCAGUGGCUGACGCUGAGGCGCGACAGCGUGGGGAGCAAACAGG
Molecule: ribosomal RNA, 253 nt
Filed under: uncultured bacterium
Lineage: Bacteria
Description: partial 16S ribosomal RNA
Rfam family: Bacterial small subunit ribosomal RNA
Source: RNAcentral